AGUGAACGCUGGCGGUAGGCCUAACACAUGCAAGUCGAACGGCAGCACAGGAGAGCUUGCUCUCUGGGUGGCGAGUGGCGGGCGGGUGAGGAAUACAUCGGAAUCUACUCUGUCGUGGGGGAUAACGUAGGGAAACUUACGCUAAUACCGCAUACGACCUACGGGUGAAAGCAGGGGACCUUCAGGACUUGCGCGAUUGAAUGAGCCGAUGUCGGAUUAGCUAGUUGGCGGGGUAAAGGCCCACCAAGGCGACGAUCCGUAGCUGGUCUGAGAGGAUGAUCAGCCACACUGGAACUGAGACACGGUCCAGACUCCUACGGGAGGCAGCAGUGGGGAAUAUUGGACAAUGGGCGCAAGCCUGAUCCAGCCAUACCGCGUGGGUGAAGAAGGCCUUCGGGUUGUAAGGCCCUUUUGUUGGGAAAGAAAUCCAGCUGGCUAAUACCCGGUUGGGAUGACGGUACCCAAAGAAUAAGCACCGGCUAACUUCGUGCCAGCCGCCGCCGUAA
Molecule: ribosomal RNA, 506 nt
Filed under: uncultured bacterium
Lineage: Bacteria
Description: partial 16S ribosomal RNA
Rfam family: Bacterial small subunit ribosomal RNA
Source: RNAcentral